Ceratitis capitata (Mediterranean fruit fly) is the source of this 902-nucleotide long non-coding RNA. RefSeq lists it as uncharacterized. The transcript has 2 exons. The record is from RefSeq and is a predicted model, not a curated record. Lineage: Eukaryota; Metazoa; Arthropoda; Insecta; Diptera; Tephritidae.
AUACAUACUCGUCGAAAUUGAAAAUAAAAAAUUAUUAAAAUAUCAAAAGCAAACGCAAAAACAAAGAAAAAUCGUUCAUUCGUUCGUUCGAUCGUUCGUUAACUCAGUGCAUAGUAUAUACAUACAUACACAUGCAAAAAUACAUACCCAUGUAUAUAGCAUGAAAAGUCAUAAGUCAAUCGUAUGUAAAUAUGUACAUAAAUUGUAUAAAAAAAAAAAGAAAAAACAAAAACAAAAAGUAAUCAUUCAAUCGACCAACCAAUCAAGCCAAGCAAGCCAAUCAACCAACCAACCAACCACCUCAGUCAAGUGUACAUAGAAAAGUCUAGAUGUUUAAACGAAGUCACUAUCAAAAACGUCAAACUUUUGUCAGAACAAAAAAAAAAAAAAAAAAAAAAAAUAAAAAAAAAACAGUUAACACAAAAUGUUAAUCCAAAAUAAUUUUCAUCAUCAACGAAAAAAGUAUUUUGUCAAGCUCAUUCAAAAUCCUAAGGGCCUGGACAAUCAGAUCUAUAAUUUUUUCUCAUUGCUAUAGAAAUUGGUUAUAGAUUUUUGAAACAGAAUUAAAAAAUAAUAAUAUGAAUUUAAAUCAUACAUAUAUAUAUAUAUAUAUAAAUGAAUAUAUUUGUCCAACAUUAGUGCAUACUAAAAGGACUUUAACACUUUGGAGUUGGCGUUGAAAAAUAUAUUUUUAAACCAUAACUCUUACAGAAAAGAAAUGGGGGACUAACAACAAUUUGAAGAUAAAAAAAAAUAUUAACAAUUUACAAAACUUAAGCAAAAAAGAUGUUUGAAUUGUGCUUAGCUGAGGUUGGGAGAUUAUUUAUAACAAAAAAAAAAAACAUUUAUGCAAAAGCAGGUUCAAAAAGGUAACGAAUAUUAACGAACGUUGAAAAUAUAAA